UACGUAGGGGACGAGCGUUGUCCGGAAUUAUUGGGCGUAAAGAGCUCGUAGGCGGCCUGUCGCGUCGGAUGUGAAAGCCCGGGGCUUAACCCCGGGUCUGCAUUCGAUACGGGCAGGCUAGAGUGUGGUAGGGGAGAUCGGAAUUCCCGGUGUAGUGGUGAAAUGCGUAGAUAUCGGGAGGAACACCAGUGGCGAAGGCGACUUCCUGGCCUGUUCUUGACGCUGAGGCGCGAAAGCUAGGGUAGCAAACGGG
Molecule: ribosomal RNA, 253 nt
Filed under: uncultured bacterium
Lineage: Bacteria
Description: partial 16S ribosomal RNA
Rfam family: Bacterial small subunit ribosomal RNA
Source: RNAcentral